CAGUCACAUCCUGUCGAAGUACCGGUUCCCGUACGAUCACCGAAGUUAAGCAACGUAGAUUUUGGUCAGUAUCUAGAUGGGUGACCGCUUGUGAAUAUCGGCUGCUGUAAG
This is a non-coding RNA of Acanthosepion pharaonis, 111 nucleotides long. NCBI's taxonomy places the organism in Eukaryota, Metazoa, Mollusca, Cephalopoda, Sepiida, Sepiidae. The record is from the annotation of a GenBank genome assembly.